This 781-nucleotide non-coding RNA is filed under the name Muscina levida. The record is from RNAcentral. Lineage: Eukaryota; Metazoa; Arthropoda; Insecta; Diptera; Muscidae.
UAAAGUUUUAUUUUAGCUUAAAAUUUUGUUAUUAAUUUAAUUUAUAUGCAAAUUUUGGUAUGGUUAUUUAUUUAUUUAAAUAGUAAAUUACUUUUUUUAUUCGCAGUAAUUAUUAUUAUUAAUUAAAGAAAUUUAGAAAUAGUAAAAUUAAAGAGUAUUGGUUAAAUUUGUGCCAGCAGCCGCGGUUAUACUAAUAAUACAAAUUAAUUUAAAUUAGUUGAAGUUAAUUUAUAAAAAUUAAUUAAAAAUAAAUUUAUUAGGUGGAAUUUUAAAUUUAUAAUAUUUUAUAUUAAUUAAUUGAAGCUUGAAAAUUUUAAAUUUAAACUAGGAUUAGAUACCCUAUUAUUUAAAAUGUAAUUUAUUAAACUAAAGUAGUAGUAGUUAUGUUCUUGAAACUUUAAAAAUUUGGCGGUAUUUUAGUCUAUUCAGAGGAAUCUGUUUUGUAAUCGAUAAUCCACGAUGGACCUUACUUAAAUUUGUUUAUUAGUUUAUAUACCGUUGUUAUUAGAAUAUUUUAUAAGAAUGUUAAUUUUUACAAAUUUUUAUAAGAAAAUAUAUCAGAUCAAGGUGUAGCUUAUAUUUAAGAAUUAAUGGAUUACAAUAAAUUUAUUUAGAUGAAUAUAAAUUUGAAAUGUUUAUUGAAGGUGGAUUUGAUAGUAAAUUUAUAAAGAUUAAUAAUUUGAUUUUAGCUCUAAAAUAUGUACACAUCGCCCGUCACUCUUAUUACUAAGGUAAGAUAAGUCGUAACAUAGUAGAUGUACUGGAAGGUGUUUCUAGAAUG